ACUCAAAGGAAUAGACGGGGGCCCGCACAAGCGGUGGAGCAUGUUGUUUAAUACGUCACUAACCGUAGAACCUUACCAAGGCUUGACAUCUGCUGACCGCCGGUGAAAGCCGGUUUUCCCCGCAAGGGGACAGCAAGACAGGUGUUGCAUGGCUGUCGUCAGCUCGUGUCGUGAGAUGUUGGGUUAAGUCCCGCAACGAGCGCAACCCCCACCCCAUGUUGCCAGCGGGUCAAGCCGGGAACUCUUGGGGAACUGCCCGGGUAACCGGGAGGAAGGUGGGGACGACGUCAAGUCAGCAUGGCCCUUACGCCUUGGGCUACAAACAUGCUACAAUGGACGGCAGACAGAGGGACCCGAUACCGCGAGGUGGUGGCAAUCCCAGAAAUCCGUUCCCAGUUCAGAUCGCAGGCUGCAACUCGCCUGCGUGAAGUCGGAAUCGCUAGUAACCGCAGAUCAGAUAUGCUGCGGUGAAUACGUUCCCGGGCCUUGCACACACCGCCCGU
This 503-nucleotide ribosomal RNA is filed under the name uncultured bacterium. RNAcentral's name for it is "partial 16S ribosomal RNA". It matches the Rfam family "Bacterial small subunit ribosomal RNA", at positions 899 to 1397 of the family's 1533-position model. The record is from RNAcentral.